Molecule: ribosomal RNA, 845 nt
Filed under: uncultured archaeon
Lineage: Archaea
Description: bacterial SSU rRNA
Rfam family: Archaeal small subunit ribosomal RNA
Source: RNAcentral
AAUACAAGGCAUACGGCUCAGUAACACGUAGUCAAUCUGCCCUAUGGACGUGGAUAACCUCGGGAAACUGAGAAUAAUCCGCGAUAGAUCAUAAUGCCUGGAACGGUUUAUGGUCCAAAUGAUUCGUCGCCAUAGGAUGGGACUGCGGCCUAUCAGCUUGUUGGUGAGGUAAUGGCCCACCAAGACUAUUACAGGUACGGGCUCUGAGAGGAGUAGCCCGGAGAUGGGUACUGAGACACGGACCCAGGCCCUAUGGGGCGCAGCAGGCGAGAAAACUUUGCAAUGUGCGAAAGCACGACAAGGUUAAUCCGAGUGGUUUCUGCUAAAGAAACCUUUUGUCAGUCCUAGAAACACUAACGAAUAAGGGGUGGGCAAGUUCUGGUGUCAGCCGCCGCGGUAAAACCAGCACCUCAAGUGGUCAGGAUGAUUAUUGGGCCUAAAGCAUCCGUAGCUCGUUUUGUAAGUUUUCGGUUAAAUCCAUGCGCUUAACGUAUGGGCUGCCGGGAAUACUGCAUAACUAGGAAGUGGGAGAGGUAGACGGUACUCGGGAGGAAGGGGUAAAAUCCUUUGAUCUCUUGAUGACCACCUGUGGCGAAGGCGGUCUACCAGAACACGUUCGACGGUGAGGGAUGAAAGCUGGGGGAGCAAACCGGAUUAGAUACCCGGGUAGUCCCAGCUGUAAACUAUGCAAACUCAGUGAUGCAUUGGCUUAUGGCCAAUGCAGUGCUGCAGGGAAGCCGUUAAGUUUGCCGCCUGGGAAGUACGUACGCAAGUAUGAAACUUAAAGGAAUUGGCGGGGGAGCACCACAAGGGGUGAAGCCUGCGGUUCAAUUGGAGUCAACGCC